GGCGACAGUACCAGGACAAUUGAUAUGGGAGAUCGUUAAGACCAACAACUGUUUCUUGGUCAAACAGUUCGGAAGAGGCAACGCCAAGGUUCAGUUCAGCAAAGAGAAGAACAAUCUCUGCAACCUUAACUCCUACAAGCACUCUGGUAAAGAUCCAUUCAUCUUUUGCUCUCUUGUCUAUCGAUUGGAUAUUACUGGUAUUGGAACUGAACUUGUUGUUUUGUUUAGUGUAUGUAUGGUCGUAUCUGUCUGAAUUAGAAAUGUGGCUACUUUAUAUUAAAAUUGGAAGGUUCACAUAAAAAUAUGAUUACUACUUAUUUACUAAAAAUAUACGUGUGACUGAAAUUUGAAAAAAAAAAAUUAAAAACUUUUUGUUUAGUGUCUAAGGAUUUAUUAUCUGAUACAAAUUUUGAGUUGGGUGCUUGAGCUGGACUAAUGUCUCAAUCUUUUGUCUUGGGUUCAGGUCUUGCAAACAAGAAGACAGUGACCAUCCAGCCAGCUGACAAGGAACAAGGUGUUGUUUUGGCCACCACCAAGACCAAGAAGCAGAACAAGCCUAAGGUCUCUGUCAACAAGUCUAUCCUUAAGAAGGAAUUCCCCAGGAUGUCCAAGGCUGUCGCUAACCAGGUAAUUUUGUAUCUCAACUAGUUUCUAUGUCUGUUGUGCUAAUAGGUUGCUGUUUCUAGUUAUUGGUUAUUUACAAUUGUUCUUUGUUCUACUUGUCUUCUUGUGAGUGGAGAUUUCAUGUGUAUAUGUAAUGGUAACAUGGCUUGAUAGUAGAGGUGAUGAUAACUUUUGUGUCAUAUAGACAUUUAAUAAUGCCUACUUGUAGUGGCUUUACAUGUGUUCAUUUUGUCAUAAUUGGGUUAAUUUGUGUGAAAAUGAUUCAGGUGGUUGACAACUACUACAGGCCAGACUUGAAGAAAUUCGCUCUUGCUAGACUCAGUGUCAUCAGCAAAAGCAUUAGGGUUGCCAAGUCCGGUGCCAAGCAAAGAAACCGUCAAGCUUAAGCCUUUUUGAAGUACUGAAGAGGUUUAUUAAGUUGUUUUUUGUUCAAGUCGAACCUUAACACUAUGCUAUGCUUAUCCUUUUCAAAAGAAGUUAGAACUUUUUUUUAUUUAUUAUGCUUUUGGUUUCUGGUGUGCUUGUGUUGGAUCUUUUUUUUAUCAAAUCAAGGAUUUGAUCAUGUGAUAUAUUUAUUCUGUUUGACUGAGAACGAAAUAUCCAUGAAGCUCAUUUAGGAGAUAACUUCUGUGAGAUUAACUGUGGUCUUGUAAGUGGUUUCCUUCCUGCUGUUUCUGUUUUUGUUUCUUGACAUGAAUCAUUCAAAGAAGUUGGUUUUGUUUGACAGGGUCUAGGCCUGAUGAAGGAGAAACUAGAAAUCAAAAUCAUGGCGAAAGUAAGCAAAGGUGGGAAACAGAGUUUGUUGAUUCGACAGAUGCUGCACGUGCUGCUGCUGAAGCCGCUGAGAGAGCAAGUCUCUCUCUCUCUCUCUCUCUCUCUCUCUCUCUCUCUCUCUCUCUCUCUCUCUCUCUCUCUCUCUCUCUCUCUCUCUCUCUCUCUCUCUCUCUCUCUCUCUCUCUCUCUCUCUCUCUCUCUCUCUCUCUCUCUCUCUCUCUCUCUCUCUGAACUUUCACGGUGAGCGUUUAGAUCCAAUCUCAAUUGUACAUUGAUCUGUUCUUGUCUGUAUUGUUGAUUUAGUUAUUCGUUUAUAUUUCGAUUGGUUUGGUGUUACUUAGGUACGUUUUGGAAAUGGCGACAGUACCAGGACAAUUGAUAUGGGAGAUCGUUAAGACCAACAACUGUUUCUUGGUCAAACAGUUCGGAAGAGGCAACGCCAAGGUUCAGUUCAGCAAAGAGAAGAACAAUCUCUGCAACCUUAACUCCUACAAGCACUCUGGUAAAGAUCCAUUCAUCUUUUGCUCUCUUGUCUAUCGAUUGGAUAUUACUGGUAUUGGAACUGAACUUGUUGUUUUGUUUAGUGUAUGUAUGGUCGUAUCUGUCUGAAUUAGAAAUGUGGCUACUUUAUAUUAAAAUUGGAAGGUUCACAUAAAAAUAUGAUUACUACUUAUUUACUAAAAAUAUACGUGUGACUGAAAUUUGAAAAAAAAAAAUUAAAAACUUUUUGUUUAGUGUCUAAGGAUUUAUUAUCUGAUACAAAUUUUGAGUUGGGUGCUUGAGCUGGAC
This 2187-nucleotide long non-coding RNA is filed under the name Brassica napus (rape). RNAcentral's name for it is "long non-coding RNA (BNAP_LNC024214)". The record is from RNAcentral. Lineage: Eukaryota; Viridiplantae; Streptophyta; Magnoliopsida; Brassicales; Brassicaceae.